GACGAACGCUGGCGGCGUGCUUAACACAUGCAAGUCGAACGCUGAAGCUCAGCUUUUGUUGGGUGGAUGAGUGGCGAACGGGUGAGUAACACGUGAGUAACCUGCCUCCUUCUUUGGGAUAACGCCCGGAAACGGGUGCUAAUACUGGAUAUUCACUGGUCUUCGCAUGGGGGUUGGUGGAAAGGGGUGUUCUGGUGGGGGAUGGGCUCGCGGCCUAUCAGCUUGUUGGUGGGGUGAUGGCCUACCAAUGCUUUGACGGGUAGCCGGCCUGAGAGGGUGACCGGUCACAUUGGGACUGAGAUACGGCCCAGACUCCUACGGGAGGCAGCAGUGGGGAAUAUUGCACAAUGGGCGCAAGCCUGAUGCAGCGACGCCGCGUGAGGGAUGGAGGCCUUCGGGUUGUGAACCUCUUUCGCUCAUGGUCAAGCCGCAACAAUGGUUGUGGUGAGGGUAGUGGGUAAAGAAGCGCCGGCUAACUACGUG
Molecule: ribosomal RNA, 483 nt
Filed under: uncultured bacterium
Lineage: Bacteria
Description: partial 16S ribosomal RNA
Rfam family: Bacterial small subunit ribosomal RNA
Source: RNAcentral